CUCCCCUUAUUAGACAUUCUCUUCUUAUAUCUAGGAACGUAAAUUGCUACCUGGAUGUGCUACUUUCUCUCUUUCCCGUCUUCCGGGGCGCAUAGUAGUUUGGCGUGGAUCACAACUUGGCUGGUGAAGCCGCCAUCAAGUGAAUGCUCUCACGAGUAAGCCGUGUUGUCGGAGCUAACGCAGCUUCCCCUCCCUCUCCCUCAACUUGAUGGUCAGGAACGAAAUCUUUUUAACUUGAUAUACGAAGUCGGCCGGCAUCACCAAGUGUCUCCACGCCACACGCGGCUGCUGUUCUGUCUCUUAAGAAGUUUAUUGCGUCCUCUUCAACCCUCGGGUUGACGCUGGGGUCAUUGUGUAACCUACUGGUUGUUGGUCCUGUCCUGGUAUUGUUUGUCGUACCAGUUGGGAUUGAUUGUGCAUGGGAUUCAUUUUGACUUAUCUGCAUAAUGCAUGUUUAGGGCUGUCUGGCCGUGUGGUGCAUGCUUUGCAUGUUUGAUUGCUUGCUUCUCUGUGUAUUUGCAUGUGGUUUAUUAUGUUCUUCUCCUGUGCCUUUCCUUUUUGUUCCCUGUUAAUGCAUGUUUAGAGCUGCUUUGCGCUGCAUGCACAUUUGAGUAUUUGCGGGGUUAACUCACCUGUAUCUUACAGCCCCUUAAUUGUGGUGUUGCAUUGUGGGAACUGCUGUGCAUGUGUGUGGUUGUUAGUGGUGUGUGAGCGUGUAUUUGUGUGCAGUAACGUUAUUCCCCCCAUCGCCGUGACCAGGGCGGUUGCACUGCUCCAGCUUGACCUCUGGGGCCGUCAACAUCUGUGGGACGGCCAUUCCAGCCCCACAGCUCAAAAGCUAAGUACAACCAUACCAGCUAACACUAAGUUAGUGUGAUUGUGCUACCCACAGUUCUUACCAUAGUCUCUCCCCCUCUCUCCCUUGUUCUCCUUUGGACAGGUGCGGUGUGGUCCAAGCGAGUGGCAGGCUCACCCUCAGGUGGUGGGGUCCCUUCACGUUUCCUGUAGCACACCUCGGGUGUCAAUCCUUAGCUUUGGAGUGCAGUGAUUGCAGUGUGAUUCUCACGUGUGAUGUGUGGGUGUCUUCUGGACCGCUUCCCCCUCCUGUAGUCCUGCCGGUCGUGGUAAGCCCUCGCCCUGCUCCGUUUUCCCUUUUCUUGAGAUUGCCCAUAGACCUUGUGUGCAGCUGACGUGCAGCCUCGCUGGUCACCGUAUGUACGGUAUGGUGUGUAUGUGUGUUGUGUCUCAUACUGGUAUCUUUCAGGGGAAUUGCUGAGACAUUUCCUCAG
Alosa alosa (allis shad) is the source of this 1289-nucleotide long non-coding RNA. RefSeq lists it as uncharacterized. NCBI's taxonomy places the organism in Eukaryota, Metazoa, Chordata, Actinopteri, Clupeiformes, Clupeidae. The transcript has 3 exons. The record is from RefSeq and is a predicted model, not a curated record.